Molecule: non-coding RNA, 180 nt
Organism: Chiloscyllium plagiosum (whitespotted bambooshark)
Lineage: Eukaryota; Metazoa; Chordata; Chondrichthyes; Orectolobiformes; Hemiscylliidae
Source: RefSeq, a predicted model, not a curated record
GCUAGCUCAUUGUCUCGUGAUAGAAGAGGAUUGCUAUGGCAUCUCUAGCGGCAUGGUUGAGUUGCAGUGAUCUACAAUCAAAACUACAGAAAUAUAAAAUGAUACAGUCUUCACAGUGUGUCUGUCUGGAGAGGAAAAUUGGAUUAGAAUCAAUCUAAACAUCAUGGCAUAGACAGAGAA